GCGCCCAAGCCAACCAUGCAGCCAAUCCCGAGCGCCCACCUCAAUGCAACACAUGGCCAAGAGAGAACCAAGUUUAGUCAGCCCCUUGCGGCCGAAUUAGAAGUCUUUUGUCAUUUGAAUUAAGUCCAAAAUAAGCCAAGACAAUCGGCCUAUAAGAGGAGCCAUUAGGGCCCUUAGGCAAUCAUCUUCUAGCUUUUGAAUUUCCAGCAAAGUGUCAACGGUUGUAUCCCUUUUGUUUGUCGGCCGAAAGGCUUGGGCUAAGGAGGAGAACAUCACUCCCCUUAGAUUGUUUAGGCGUCGCAAGGUUCCUUCCGGAUCUUGCUAAGAGUCCUUGUAAUUCGUUGCUAAUUGGAAUAGAGUCAAGUUCUUUUCAUCAUUGAGCCCCGAACCAUCUUGAUUCAUUCCCACCGCCGGCAGCCAAAGGCAAUAGCACACGGCGUGGUUCCAAGGCAGCAAGAAGGAAGAGCGAUACCCACAAGCAAGUCGG
This 487-nucleotide long non-coding RNA is filed under the name Phoenix dactylifera (date palm). RNAcentral's name for it is "long non-coding RNA (PDAC_LNC013856)". The record is from RNAcentral. Lineage: Eukaryota; Viridiplantae; Streptophyta; Magnoliopsida; Arecales; Arecaceae.